AGGUUGAUAGGUCUGAGGUGGAAGCGUGGUGACACGUGGAGCUGACAGAUACUAAUAGAUCGAGGACUUAACCACAUUU
RNAcentral lists this ribosomal RNA (79 nucleotides) under Bacillus infantis. RNAcentral's name for it is "partial 23S ribosomal RNA". The record is from RNAcentral. Lineage: Bacteria; Bacillati; Bacillota; Bacilli; Caryophanales; Bacillaceae.